This is a long non-coding RNA of Centrocercus urophasianus (Greater sage-grouse), 911 nucleotides long. RefSeq lists it as uncharacterized. The transcript is spliced from 3 exons. Lineage: Eukaryota; Metazoa; Chordata; Aves; Galliformes; Phasianidae. The record is from RefSeq and is a predicted model, not a curated record.
CAGCUCUCCCAAAGGAUUUGGGUCCCCUCCACAGACUCACAUCCUCUUGAAGCUGAGAUACUUCAGCAAAGCACUUGAGGUCCAUCAGUAUUUAUCUUCUUCUAAACUACACGGAGCCCAGGGACAGAAAUAAAACACGAAACAACUUACACAUCAGAAGCUAACCUGAAGCCAGCCUUUACUGACCUGAUGUCUGUAGGCGGUUUGAACAACAAACAAAAACAAUCAACAAAAAAGGAAAGCUACACUUAAGCAACAGCUGUUAAACAAGCCUGCAAUCACCACAUUUUGGAUCUAAUCUCCUUUGGAAUGAGUAACCCCAGGGUUAGACAUUCCAGUACCUGCCAUAUCCCCACCAAUCUUCUCAUGCUUACAAGGUAACAUUUAUUUUAUUGAUUAGUUUUCAAAGCUUAAAAACAGAGGUCCCUCUUUACUCAGUCACUGAGCAGUUUGGUGAAGGCUCUCUUCCCUGCAGACCAUAGUGCAACAGAACGUCCCUGGUUACUCUAACACAGAACGGCUUUUUUUCCAUCCUUACCUACAGAAGGUUACAGAAUCUCUGGUGUUGAUACGUAUGAACAAAAUUUAAACCCAAAGGCUCAUACAUGAGUAUUCUGUCCUCAGAAGGAUACCACUGAAACAGAACAUUUCCCAGCAGAAAUAAAAUCUCCUCCAAGCAAAUGAAAUCAUACUUUACAACAUACAACUAUUUUCAUGUGACAGUUUUCCCAUUUUUAUCAAAUUCCUUUCUCCACGAAAGAUGAAAGCAUUGAUAAAAGCAGAUCACACAAUUCCCAGAAAUGCUCUGCCAUCUUUGGCAAGCAACCAGAUCAACAGGGAAGCAUCUCAGCAGGGAAACAGGCCACUUGAUAAACACAGGUAUACAAUGCUGCCAUUGCUAGCAUGGCUUU